Molecule: ribosomal RNA, 2306 nt
Filed under: Staphylococcus pseudintermedius
Lineage: Bacteria; Bacillati; Bacillota; Bacilli; Caryophanales; Staphylococcaceae
Description: partial 23S ribosomal RNA
Rfam family: Bacterial large subunit ribosomal RNA
Source: RNAcentral
AGAACUUGAAACCGUGUGCUUACAAGUAGUCAGAGCCCGUUAAUGGGUGAUGGCGUGCCUUUUGUAGAAUGAACCGGCGAGUUACGAUCUGAUGCAAGGUUAAGCAGAAAAUGUGGAGCCGUAGCGAAAGCGAGUCUGAAUAGGGCGAAUGAGUAUUUGGUCGUAGACCCGAAACCAGGUGAUCUACCCUUGGUCAGGUUGAAGUUCAGGUAACACUGAAUGGAGGACCGAACCGACUUACGUUGAAAAGUGAGCGGAUGAACUGAGGGUAGCGGAGAAAUUCCAAUCGAACUUGGAGAUAGCUGGUUCUCUCCGAAAUAGCUUUAGGGCUAGCCUCAAGUGAUGAUUAUUGGAGGUAGAGCACUGUUUGGACGAGGGGCCCCUCUCGGGUUACCGAAUUCAGACAAACUCCGAAUGCCAAAUAAUUUAACUUGGGAGUCAGAAUGUGGGUGAUAAGGUCCAUAUUCGAAAGGGAAACAGCCCAGACCACCAGCUAAGGUCCCAAAAUAUAUGUUAAGUGGAAAAGGAUGUGGCGUUGCCCAGACAACUAGGAUGUUGGCUUAGAAGCAGCCAUCAUUUAAAGAGUGCGUAAUAGCUCACUAGUCGAGUGACACUGCGCCGAAAAUGUACCGGGGCUAAACAUAUUACCGAAGCUGUGGAUUGUCCUUUGGACAAUGGUAGGAGAGCGUUCUAAGGGCGUUGAAGCAUGAUCGCAAGGACAUGUGGAGCGCUUAGAAGUGAGAAUGCCGGUGUGAGUAGCGAAAGACGGGUGAGAAUCCCGUCCACCGAUUGACUAAGGUUUCCAGAGGAAGGCUCGUCCGCUCUGGGUUAGUCGGGUCCUAAGCUGAGGCCGACAGGCGUAGGCGAUGGAUAACAGGUUGAUAUUCCUGUACCACCAUUAUUCGUUUUAAGCGAUGGGGGGACGCAGUAGGAUAGGCGAAGCGUGCUGUUGGAGUGCACGUCCAAGCAGUGAGAUUGAGUGUUAGGCAAAUCCGGCACUCUUAAGAUUGAGCUGUGAUGGGGAGAGGAACUUGUUCCUCGAGUCGUUGAUUUCACACUGCCGAGAAAAGCCUCUAGCUAGAAUAACGGUGCCCGUACCGCAAACCGACACAGGUAGUCAAGAUGAGAAUUCUAAGGUGAGCGAGCGAACUCUCGUUAAGGAACUCGGCAAAAUGACCCCGUAACUUCGGGAGAAGGGGUGCUCUUUGAGGUUCACGCUUCGAAGAGCCGCAGUGAAUAGGCCCAAGCGACUGUUUAUCAAAAACACAGGUCUCUGCUAAACCGUAAGGUGACGUAUAGGGGCUGACGCCUGCCCGGUGCUGGAAGGUUAAGAGGAGUGGUUAGCGCAAGCGAAGCUACGAAUCGAAGCCCCAGUAAACGGCGGCCGUAACUAUAACGGUCCUAAGGUAGCGAAAUUCCUUGUCGGGUAAGUUCCGACCCGCACGAAAGGCGUAACGAUUUGGGCACUGUCUCAACGAGAGACUCGGUGAAAUCAUAGUACCGGUGAAGAUGCCGGUUACCCGCGACAGGACGGAAAGACCCCGUGGAGCUUUACUGUAGCCUGAUAUUGAAAUUCGGUACAGUUUGUACAGGAUAGGUAGGAGCCUUAGAAGCGUGAGCGCUAGCUUACGUGGAGGCAUUGGUGGGAUACUACCCUAAUUGUAUUGGAUUUCUAACCCGCAGCACUUAUCGUGCUGGGAGACAGUGUCAGGCGGGCAGUUUGACUGGGGCGGUCGCCUCCUAAAGAGUAACGGAGGCGCUCAAAGGUUCCCUCAGAAUGGUUGGAAAUCAUUCAUAGAGUGUAAAGGCAUAAGGGAGCUUGACUGCGAGACCUACAAGUCGAGCAGGGUCGAAAGACGGACUUAGUGAUCCGGUGGUUCCGCAUGGAAGGGCCAUCGCUCAACGGAUAAAAGCUACCCCGGGGAUAACAGGCUUAUCUCCCCCAAGAGUUCACAUCGACGGGGAGGUUUGGCACCUCGAUGUCGGCUCAUCGCAUCCUGGGGCUGUAGUCGGUCCCAAGGGUUGGGCUGUUCGCCCAUUAAAGCGGUACGCGAGCUGGGUUCAGAACGUCGUGAGACAGUUCGGUCCCUAUCCGUCGUGGGCGUAGGAAAUUUGAGAGGAGCUGUCCUUAGUACGAGAGGACCGGGAUGGACAUACCUCUGGUGUACCAGUUGUCGUGCCAACGGCAUAGCUGGGUAGCUAUGUAUGGACGGGAUAAGUGCUGAAAGCAUCUAAGCAUGAAGCCCCCCUCGAGAUGAGAUUUCCCAACUUCGGUUAUAAGAUCCCUCAAAGAUGAUGAGGUGAAU